UACGUAGGGUGCAAGCGUUAAUCGGAAUUACUGGGCGUAAAGCGUGCGCAGGCGGUUAUGUAAGACAGGUGUGAAAUCCCCGGGCUUAACCUGGGAACUGCAUUUGUGACUGCAUAGCUAGAGUACGGUAGAGGGGGAUGGAAUUCCGCGUGUAGCAGUGAAAUGCGUAGAUAUGCGGAGGAACACCGAUGGCGAAGGCAGCCCCCUGGGUCAACACUGACGCUCAUGCACGAAAGCGUGGGGAGCAAACAGG
Molecule: ribosomal RNA, 253 nt
Filed under: uncultured bacterium
Lineage: Bacteria
Description: partial 16S ribosomal RNA
Rfam family: Bacterial small subunit ribosomal RNA
Source: RNAcentral